GACGAACGCUGGCGGCGUGCCUAAUACAUGCAAGUUGAGCGAUGAAGAUUGGUGCUUGCACCAAUUUGAAGAGCAGCGAACGGGUGAGUAACGCGUGGGGAAUCUGCCUUUGAGCGGGGGACAACAUUUGGAAACGAAUGCUAAUACCGCAUAACAACUUUAAACAUAAGUUUUAAGUUUGAAAGAUGCAAUUGCAUCACUCAAAGAUGAUCCCGCGUUGUAUUAGCUAGUUGGUGAGGUAAAGGCUCACCAAGGCGAUGAUACAUAGCCGACCUGAGAGGGUGAUCGGCCACAUUGGGACUGAGACACAGCCCAAACUCCUACGGGAGGCAGCAGUAGGGAAUCUUCGGCCAUGGACGAAAGUCUGACCGAGCAACGCCGCGUGAGUGAAGAAGGUUUUCGGAUCGUAAAACUCUGUUGGUAGAGAAGAACGUUGGUGAGAGUGGAAAGCUCAUCAAGUGACGGUAACUACCCAGAAAGCGACGGCUAACUACGUG
This 497-nucleotide ribosomal RNA is filed under the name uncultured bacterium. RNAcentral's name for it is "partial 16S ribosomal RNA". It matches the Rfam family "Bacterial small subunit ribosomal RNA", at positions 28 to 507 of the family's 1533-position model. The record is from RNAcentral.